Molecule: long non-coding RNA, 3478 nt
Organism: Anas platyrhynchos (mallard)
Lineage: Eukaryota; Metazoa; Chordata; Aves; Anseriformes; Anatidae
Source: RefSeq, a predicted model, not a curated record
UCCAUUGGGAGCAGCUGAGGCUCUGUGGGAUAGACCAGAUUUUUUCCUGACAUGAUGCUUUGAAGGGGUGGGGAGAGUCAUGGUGAUGCGAUGUAGUCCUGCAACUGGAUUUUAGAGUGGGGGAGCCUGCAGAGAGGAGCAGAGCUUCAGGGGGUGCAGAGAAGAAAAAGUUACAAGAAAGCAGCAGCACCUAGGCAGAAUUUGUCAAAGGUGAAUGGGCUGUCUUCCUCUGCAGUGUCUUGAAUGCUGUUGCUCUGUGGCUUUUCCAAGCUGUCGCCCUAUUAAAAAUCUGUGGCCAGAUUGUGGAAGGUCUGGCUGAGGGUUCGCAAUCUCACAGCACCAUUUGUCAACUGAAGAUGAGAAAAGAACUCGGAACAAUUGGAUUCAAGCCUCGUUCUGCCUCACUUUUAUAGCCUCUUUUUACAGUUUCUCACUGGGUCUGGAAAGAAUGCUAAAAGUCAGAUAAUGGAAAGACGUGGCAGUUUUCUGGAGCACUGGAGGGUUCCACAGGAGCUGCCCCCAGAUGCCUUCUGUAUUGCCUGGACCUGGUGCUUCCAGCUGUCAGCUCUGGAGCUGAUAUAGCAGCCCUGUGUUUGAGCAGCUGCAGCCCUGGGAAAGUUGUCUUACAGAGUGAAAGGACACCCAGGCUUCUGGCAGAACUGCCAGGUGGCCUCACAGGAGGUGGGCACAAAGAUUUUAGCUCUGCAACUCAGGAAUAGCAUGUUUUGCCAGAGCAACAGCUCAUCAGUUGCUGAGAUCGCUUUUCUUUUAAUGAAGGUUUGGCUUCUGUCAGCAGCCAGCAUAGAAGCCCUGAGGACACAGCUGAACAGUUUUCUGUGUAACACUCCUAUGAAACUGAAAACAGCCUGGGGUCUGAAAUAGUUCAGGGUCCUUUCCAAACCUGUGUUGAUGUUGUGGGCAAUAUUGCAAUAUAUAUUUUAUCUGGAAACAGCUGUUUCACCUACCCUAACUCUAAAAAAGGCAGUUUUAAUUAUAAUUAUAUUAAAAAGUUUAUAUUAAAAGCUUUUAAUAUAAGCCUACAAUAAAAGAUCAAAUUCUUAGAAAUUAUAUAUUUUGCAUAGAAGAAAUCAGAAGUAGCCAAUAUGCUGUUUUGUCUGCAAAUCUAUUAGGCAAAUUUCUCAGCUGCUACUCAGGGAAGUGUGCUAACCAACUUGGAUAUAAAGCUCAGUUUAGUUCCCAGAGAGAUUUGAAAUGGGAAAGUGAUGUUAUUCUAUGAAAAAAUACAGAUUUUUCAAGAAUCCAUCUCUUGUUACUCAAAACAAGGAUUUUUUUUUUUUCAAUAUUCCAACAUAUUCUUCGCACCUUUUCUCUAGAAGUGUGUGUAGCACAAUACAAAAUGAUGACAUUCCAGCAGGAGAUUUCAAAGAUGGCAGAAGCAGCUUGAAGCACAGUCUGUUUAUUGUCGUCUUAUAUCUGAAUAACGGAAUUAGACUGCCUCCCAUUGGGAGCAAUCCAAGUAGCUAGUUGAAUCAAAAUAUCACACCUAAAGUAAAAAGAGCUGUCAUUUUGAAACAAGAAAUUCUACAAUAUAUGCAAUGCAUUAAUUAAAUAAAUAAAUAAAUCCACAAUCAUCUUAUUUUAAGUAUUGUGAUUAAAUCACAAUAAAACAGAUAUUAUAGUAUCAGCUAUCAUCAAAUAUUUUGUUUCUCAUUGAAAUACUUCAGCACUUCCCUUCAAAGUAUUUGUGGCAUUUCCAUUCUGGGAAAAAAUAAAUAAAUAAAUAAAUAAUCAAGUUUCAUCUUAACACUGUUUUGAAAGGAUUAAAUAUUAGGUUUUCUUGUAGGACAGUUACUCCACUUUUACUUUUCCCUUUUGUUCUUCUGCAUUUUUCCUAAUAAAAAUUUCCAUGUUUGCUCAUAAACUUGGAGGUUAUGUGAGGAAUUCAGUGCACCAAAGGAGGGUGUGUUUUAGCUUGCAAGAAUUCUGAAUUGCUAGUUUAGAUGGCUUAUUGUUCAAUGGGGAGACCAAAUAUAUUUAAGCUACUUUGUUUCAUUGUGGCAAAAUAGCUUUUAAGGUUAAAUAUUUGUUCCUUUUAAAAACAAAUAAUCUGUUGCCAUUGAAGAAAACUGGUAUUUGAAAGAGAAUUUGGAAGCAAAACAAUUCAGCAACAGAAUUAAUAGCUUCAUGGAUAAACUGGAGAGUGAAUUAUCAUAGCAUGCAUACAUGAUAGGUAGUAGGCUUGUUCAACUAUUAACAGUCUAAUGCUGCUGCUUUCAUUCUGAUAGCUACUGUGGGAAUGUUUGGUAACAGAAUGAGGAUACAAGCAGUAGCAGAAAAGGAACGAUCAUGACAUCUUUGGCAUUCUUGGUCCUUGCUUCUAAUAAGUGAACUUCUGACAUUUUUCAUUCAUAUGGUAGCAGGGUUGCAGGAGUAUUGAAAUAGUCUAGUGGCACAUUGGUUCCCUUGGAACCAUUUUCCACACAAAUAUUCCACUUGUUAAAAUAGCAACAAUAAUCAUCCCUUGCUGCCCCUGAAUCCCAUGUCAUAACACACUAAGGGUAUUGCAUAAAAAAUAGAAGAUAUUUAUUUGAAAGGCCAAGAAGUGAACUGAGAAAGGGGCAGGAUGAAAGGAGGAAAAUUAAGUGUUUUGGAGGUUUUUUUGUUUUUUAAUUUUAUUUUUGAAAGAUAUUUAUCUGUAUAUAUGAAAAACAAUCAAAACGGUGCACAGAGUUUGAGACAACUUUCACACCUCUUAAAUCCUUUUUUGUUCAUUUGCCUUUGACAGGGUAUUACAUUAAAGGAGGAAAGACUUUCACAGUCUUUCUUUCUGGACUGUCAUGCAAUAAAUUAAUUUCUACUUCUAGCUGAUAUCUGAACAUCUUUACAUUUGUAAACCUAUCAAUACUUCAGUUGUUAGAAGCCUUGUUCCAUGAACUAGAAUAAAGUCAACUUUAGAUACAGGUAGUCUUGAAGGAAAAGGUAUUGUAAACAAAGAUUAUAUGUACCGUCUGGGCUUACUAAAUUCAGUCCUGCCAUUUGAAAUGGUUUCCAGUGAAAUUCCUCCUUAUUUUUAUUCAUCCAUCUAUGUAUAUGCACACAUACAGUGAAUGACAAUGUAUCUUAUAUAAUUCCAAGAAUCAACAUAAAUGACUUAUUAAUUCAUUAUCUGUUUUUAUAAAAGAUGGAGCAUUUUUAAAUUUUAUUUAUUGAACACAACUGUAUUUAAAAGCCCGCCAGAAAACAGAUGUAGAGCCUUGGCAACCAUGGGAAAUCAUGCGUUUCAGGAUUAUGAAAGUCAGUGGGACUUAUGCUUAAUGUAAACUCCAUACCUGUAUGUAAUGUAGCUUGAUGUGAUAUGUAGGUGUAAACUAUAUAUGUAUGCUCAAGUUUUGUAACUGGUAUCUUGUUUACACAGCAUAUACGACAUGAGGAUAUUCUCUCCACCAGUCUUUGCCUGUAUUCUGAGAGUUGUCUGAGGCUUUCUGAUGUAGUGAAAGUGUUUAAAAAAAAAUAAUUG